CGCUAAGAAGCUAAACAGCGCUAGCCUUUUAAGCUAGAGAUUGGGAGAUCGCCCUCCCCUGAGCGA
RNAcentral lists this transfer RNA (66 nucleotides) under Moschiola indica. Its description in RNAcentral is "tRNA-Lys". It matches the Rfam family "tRNA". From Rfam's summary of the family: Transfer RNA (tRNA) molecules are approximately 80 nucleotides in length. Their secondary structure includes four short double-helical elements and three loops (D, anti-codon, and T loops). Further hydrogen bonds mediate the characteristic L-shaped molecular structure. tRNAs have two regions of fundamental functional importance: the anti-codon, which is responsible for specific mRNA codon recognition, and the 3' end, to which the tRNAs corresponding amino acid is attached (by aminoacyl-tRNA synthetases). tRNAs cope with the degeneracy of the genetic code in two manners: having more than one tRNA (with a specific anti-codon) for a particular amino acid; and 'wobble' base-pairing, i.e. permitting non-standard base-pairing at the 3rd anti-codon position. Lineage: Eukaryota; Metazoa; Chordata; Mammalia; Artiodactyla; Tragulidae. The record is from RNAcentral.